This 465-nucleotide ribosomal RNA is filed under the name Vreelandella stevensii. RNAcentral's name for it is "partial 16S ribosomal RNA". It matches the Rfam family "Bacterial small subunit ribosomal RNA", at positions 338 to 795 of the family's 1533-position model. The record is from RNAcentral. Lineage: Bacteria; Pseudomonadati; Pseudomonadota; Gammaproteobacteria; Oceanospirillales; Halomonadaceae.
CCUACGGGUGGCAGCAGUGGGGAAUAUUGGACAAUGGGGGGAACCCUGAUCCAGCCAUGCCGCGUGUGUGAAGAAGGCCCUCGGGUUGUAAAGCACUUUCAGUGAGGAAGAACGCCUGGGGGAUAAUACCCAUCAGGAAAGACAUCACCCACAGAAGAAGCACCGGCUAACUCCGUGCCAGCAGCCGCGGUAAUACGGAGGGUGCGAGCGUUAAUCGGAAUUACUGGGCGUAAAGCGCGCGUAGGUGGCUUGAUAAGCCGGUUGUGAAAGCCCCGGGCUCAACCUGGGAACGGCAUCCGGAACUGUCAAGCUAGAGUGCAGGAGAGGAAGGUAGAAUUCCCGGUGUAGCGGUGAAAUGCGUAGAGAUCGGGAGGAAUACCAGUGGCGAAGGCGGCCCUCUGGACUGACACUGACACUGAGGUGCGAAAGCGUGGGUAGCGAACAGGAUUAGAUACCCGAGUAGUC